UGUAACCGAACCACCACCUCAAACCGAAACUCAACAUACAACCGAACCUACCCACACUCAACUGAUGGGUUUUAGCCAUAAGAACUUUCCUAUGUGCGCAUGCAAAACCCUAAUGCUUGGAUCUAGGCUUUCUAAUAAACAUGCUUUGAAUCCAAGACUUUUAAUUACUAAUUAGGUUAAACAAGAACAUUAAAACAGAUCUAGAAUCAUACCUUUGAGUUCCUUGUUGAUCUUGAGGUCUUGGAGCUUCUAGAGUCACAAAUGUCACUCCUCUAAUGGCUUACAAACACCAAAGCAAGGAGGAUGAUUUGAGAGAGAGGAGAGGGGAGGAAUUCGACCAGAGGUUCCUUACUUUUUCCAGAAGUGUUGAAUUCCCUAUGCCAAGGGGUCUAUUUAUACUUGUAGAUUCCUUAAUGAUUACAGAUAAGUCCCUAUCAGAUAAUCUUCUCUUAAGGCUAUCCAAAUCCAUUCCUAGAUAACUCUAAUGGACGAUUUUAGCUAUCCUAAUCCUCUUAGAAUUCGUCCAUAGUAUAUCCAAAUGGAUUUACAGUUUAAAGCUUAACUAUCAAACAAUUGACAGUUUAUACCCCUUUAUUUAAUUAAUCUCUUUAAGUCACCAAAUUAAUUCUAAUUAAUUCUAUGACUUAUAUUAAUCAAAUAACAAAUAUAUUAUUCAUUAUAUUAUUCCCAUAAUAUAUUAAUAAUAUUUACUCUCUCUUAAUAAAUCAUCCUAUCAAGUUGCUAUGGUGAAGGCAACCCAAAAGGACCAUGCACAACCGGAUAUAGUUACAGCCUUAGACACUAUUCCAACAGUCUCCCACUUGGAUAAGUCUAGUAACUAUACAAGUACAAUUCGGUUUGCAAUCGUAGCUCUCAAAGACGCUGUCAACUCUGAUCUAAUCAAUCUUGUCCUUUAGAUAAGGGAACGUACAGUCCUCUGUUAGAUAUCAUGCUGACAAUCCUAUGGAAUGGUUAGUCAAGCAUUUAGGUUUCUCGAUCUCUGAUUUAUUUGACAUAGAACUUAAUCGAACACAUCAAUUCAGUUCUGACCGGGCCCGGCACAUAAGUCAAAUCAAAUCAUCGAGCGGCCGAGAUAUCGCUUUUACCUUCUUAGAUAAAAGUUACAGAUAAACUUCGACUUAUAUGCAUUUACUUAUUCAUUAACCAACUAUACACAACAAUACGUUUUAUAACACCAAGUUACUGAUGCGUUUUCGUAUUAUCAAUGUACAAUCAAUUAACAAAUAAUAAACCAUAUAUCUAGGUUUUAAGACUAUAUGAUAUUAUCGUCUUGCGAUCACCUUUUAUAUCGUAUUCCAUAAGGUGAUUCCAGCAAGCGCGGGUUUAUUCCAAUGCUCAAAACUAGUUCAUAAGCACUCAUGAACGUUGCAGCAAUCCUUUGCUAUGUCUAACACCAUUUAGACAUUCUACACACCAAUUCAUGACAAUCUUCUUUCAUAUCUACUCCCAACAUAUGAACGAUUGUGGACCAUUUGAAUAAUUCGAUUAUUCCUAAUAAACUCAAUUAUUCUGGAAGUCAAAACAUGCAAAGUGAAACAAUAGCUAAACAAUUAACAUAAGAUAGUAACAUUACUCAUAAAUAAAACUCCUUUAUUUAAUCAUCAAAUGUCAAUUACAUUUAUCUAUUACACGUUUCUAAUACUAUCUAAUCUAUGCUAAUAUCAUCCUUCAGCCCAAUACUCCUAGCAUGCUGCAAGUGCUUAACCCUACUCAGUCCCUUCGUAAGCGGAUCUGCUGGGUUAUCUUCUGAUGAUAUCCUCUUCACUACGAGUUGUCCUUCUUCUACACGAUGUCUAAUGAAGUGAUAUUUUCUGUCGAUAUGUCUUGAUCUACCAUGAUCCCUCGGUUCCUUGGUCAAGGCAACCGCACCUUCGUUAUCACAGAAAAUCUCCAUUGGCUCCUUUAUGGCAGGUACGACUCCAAGAUCACCGAUGAAGUUCUUUAGCCAUAUUGCCUCCUUCGACGCUUCGCUCGCUGCAAUGUACUCUGAUUCGCACGUUGAAUCAGCUACGGUUUCCUGCUUGGAACUCUUCCAUGUCACUGCUCCUCCAUUUAGGGUAAAGACCCAGCCCGACUGCGAACGGUAGUUGUCCCUGUCGGUCUGAAAACUGGCGUCACUAUACCCUCGCACCUUCAAGUCAUCACUCCCUCCGAGGACUAAGAACCAUUCCUUCGUCCUCCGAAGGUACUUAAGGAUAUUCUUCACCGCAAUCCAAUGUGCUUUGCCAGGAUUCCCUUGAUAUCUGCUAACCAUGCUCAAAGCGAAGGCUACAUCAGGGCGAGUACAAGUCAUAGCGUACAUGAUUGAGCCAACUGCGGAAGCGUAUGGUACUCGGCUCAUUUCUGCUAUCUCAGCUUCGGUACUCGGACUUUGAGUCUUACUCAAUUUGGCAUUACUUUGUAUCGGUAGUUCUCCCUUCUUUGAGUUUUCCAUACUAAAACGUUUUAGUACCUUCUCUAAGUAAGUAUUCUGACUAAGUCCAAUUAGUCUCUUACUUCUUUCUCUUACUAUCCUUAUUCCCAAAAUGUAAGAAGCCUCUCCGAGGUCCUUCAUAGCGAAGCACUUCCCGAGCCAGGACUUAACCUCCUGCAGAGUCGGGAUGUCGUUUCCUAUGAGUAAUAUGUCAUCGACAUAUAGAACGAGGAAGCUUACUAUACUCCCACUGGCUUUGACAUAUACACAAGAUUCGUCUUCGCUUCGUACAAAUCCAAACUCUUUGACUUUCUCAUCGAAGCAAAGAUUCCAUCUGCGAGACGCUUGCUUAAGUCCAUAAAUGGACUUCUCAAGCUUACACACUCUAUUCGGAUGCUUCGGAUCCACAAACCCCUCUGGCUGAGCCAUGUAAACAUCCUCAGCCAACUUUCCGUUAAGGAAAGCGGUCUUGACAUCCAUUUGCCAAAUCUCAUAAUCAUGAAAUGCGGCAAUUGCUAGCAUCACUCUAAUAGAUUUAAUCUUCGCAACUGGUGAGAAGGUCUCAUCAUAGUCAACUCCGGGAGUUUGAGUAAAGCCCUUCGCAACCAAUCGCGCUUUAUAUGUGUGUACGUUUCCAUCCACGUCGGUCUUCUUCUUGAAGAUCCAUUUGCACCCAACGGUCUUACGUCCGGGCACAUAAUCAACCAAAUUCCAAACUUGGUUAUCAUACAUGGAUUGGAUCUCGCUAUCCAUUGCCUCUUUCCAUUUUGCAGACUCCGGGCCUGCCAUGGCUUCCUUAUAGCUAUUAGGUUCAUCAAGAUUUAUUAGUGUACCAUCACUAAUAUACGUGUCCCCUUCGGUAGUAAUAUGAAAACCAUAAAACUGGGGUUGAACUCUAACUCUAUCGGAACGUCUAAGAGGUAAGGAUUCGUCAAUCGGUUCAACCGGAGUUUCCUCCUCGGGUUGAGUGCCAGCGGUAGAGGUUCCUUCAUCUAUCGACUCUUGAAUCUCUUCAAGCUCGAUUUGCCUCCCACUGUCUCCUUGGCUUAUGAGUUCUCGCUCUCGGAAAACUCCUCUCCUCGCAACGAAGACAACAUUGUCCUUCGGUCUAUAGAAGAGAUAUCCAAAGGAUGUCUGCGGGUAGCCGAUGAAAAUACAUCGCUCACUUCGAGGUUCAAGCUUGUCGUGAGUAUCUCGUCUUACGAAAGCCUCGCAACCCCAAACCUUGAUAUGUGCCAACGAGGGAGCUUUCCCUGUCCACAUCUCGUGAGGUGUUUUGGCAACCUUCUUAGUAGGGACUCGGUUAAGGAUAUGGGCGGCAGUCUCUAAGGCAUACCCCCAAAAAGAGAUAGGUAGUGAAGCACGACUCAUCAUAGAGCGAACCAUAUCCAAUAAGGUUCGAUUACGCCUUUCUGCCACACCAUUCAACUGCGGUGUCCUAGGAGGCGUCAAUUGCGAAACUAUUCCACACUCCUUGAGAUAAUCGUGGAAUUCAAGACUUAGGUACUCUCCUCCUCGAUCGGAUCGAAGCAUCUUGAUUUUCCUGCCCAAUUGAUUCUCCACUUCAUUCUUGAACUCUUUGAACUUUUCAAAGGUGUCUGACUUUUGCUUGAUUAAGUAGAUAUACCCAUAUCUACUAUAGUCAUCGGUAAAAGUCACAUAGAAGCGGUUCCCAUCCUUCGUGGUUGAUCUAAACGGUCCACAUACAUCGGUAUGUAUUAGGUCCAAUAGACCCUCGCCCCUUUCACAUGUACUCGUGAAGGGUGACUUAGUCAUCUUUCCAAGCAAACAAGACUCGCAUGUGUCAUCUUCCCUAAGGUCGAAUGACUCCAACACUCCAUCCUUUUGGAGUUGGGCUAUGCGUUUCUUGUUGACAUGUCCAAGACGACAAUGCCACAAGGAUGCUUUAUCCAUACUAGUGGAAGAAUCAAUAUUCAAAACAUCAUUUCCUAAGUUAUCAACAAUCAUAACGGUUUCAUAUAUUCCAUUACAUGGUAUAGCUUCAAAGUAAAAGACACCAUUUAGAUAAGCCAAAAUAGAACCAUUCUCAUUAUUAAAAGAAAAUCUAAAUCCUUGUCUAUAUAAACCAUGAAAUGAAAUGAUGUUUCUUGCCAUUUCUGGCGAAUAGCAACAAUUGUUCAAAUCUAAAACUAAACUAUUCCUAAGCACUAAGGAAUACACUCCAAUCUUGGUCACAGGCGACGAUCUUCUGUUCCCCAUGAUUAGAUUGAUCCUUCCUUGCUCCACAUCCCUACUUCUUCUUAGUCCCUGCACAUUAGAACAAAUGUGAUAACCACAACCGGUAUCAAGAACCCAAGAAAUAGCAUGAUUAGAAUCGUUAGAUUUGAUUGUAUAUAUACCUGCGAAAGAUGGCUUGAUCUUUCCUUCUUUGAUUGCUUGCAGGUAAUCCGGGCAGCUUCUCUUCCAAUGUCCUAUCUUGUGGCAGUGGUGGCACUCUGCCUCCUUCGGGUUAGAGCAGGGCUUGGCGGGAUCAACUUUGGUCCCACUAGAAGAGGCACCAUCUCGGGCUUUCACCUUGCGAUAGUUCUUCGAUGAAGCUUUCCUCUUCUUUCCCUUCCCUUGUCCAAUAGCCAAGACAGGAGCAGCGGGCGGAUUGGGAGUAGGUGCAACAGACUUGUCUUUGAAGUUGCUCUCAGCAACCCUCAAGAGACCUUGGAGCUUGCUUAGGGUGACCUCUUCUUUGUUCAUGUGGUAGGUCAUCCUAAAUUGGUUGUACAUCGGAGGCAAAGAGUGAAGCACCAUGUCGAUCGCCAAGUCUUCACCGAAGUCAACAUUUAACUUGCGGAGGCGGUCAACAUACCUUUGCAUCUUUUGCAAGUGCACGGUAAGAGAUUCUCCAUGACCCAUCUUCGCGGAAAUCAUGUUAGUGAAAAUCUCGUACCUCUCUUGUCUCGCGUUUUGGUGGUACCUCUCCAAUAAGUCUUGAUGCAUCUCGUACGGGUACAUGUCCUCGUAGGACUUUUGGAAUUCGGAGUUCAUGGUGGCGAUCAUGAUGCAAUGUACCUUCGUUGCAUCUCGCUCAUGAGUUUCAAAGGCGGUGAUUUCGGCGGGAGUAGCAAUUUCGGGGUUGAUUUUCUCGAGCUUCUCAUCGAGGACAUACUCCUUAUCCUCAUAGCGAGCAAUGGUGCGAAUGUAUCUUAUCCAUUCGCUAAAGUUCGUUCCAUCGAAGGUGACCUUUUGGCAAAGGCUCAUCAACGUGAAAGAACUAGCAGCAGCGUUGUUUGCGUUCGACAUCUACAAUUAGAAAAGGACAAAGAUAGAUUAGAAUAAGAAUCCCUAAUUAUCACCCAAUAAGAAAAUUAGGGCUAGGAUCCAACAAUAACAUUUACAUACUAGAAAAGGGAUGCCGUAAUCUAACAUGCAAAUAAAUUGAAGGUAAGUGAAUGACGAUUCACUAAUUCUCCAUCACAAAACUUAAACUAUUAGUCCUAAGUGUUUUUGAGAAUUCCUAGGUUCGGAUGAGAUUCAUUGAAACUAUUCAAUGGCAUGUUUAAAUCUCGAUAUGCCCCUCUUGUUUGUGACUGGGAUGCCGAGGAUCACAAAGCGGGUGUGAAUUACCAUGCAAAUUCACAUGGUGCCUUCAUUGUAACAAUCACCUAUUCGAUGUGCCGGUAAACCACACACGCUCCAUCGAACUAUGAUAAACAAUGAAUCACCCUUUGCCACCUUCGCUUAGAACCAAUUAGUGUGCCGGUAAACCACACACGCUCCACUAACAUCUUAGCAAGGUGCAAAGUGUAAUUUCAUGGGAUUGCAUCAAUUCACUUUUCCUAAAGUAACUAGGAUUGGGAAAUUUUAAAAAAAUGUGUAGUUACUUUAUAUUUCUUAUUAUACUUUUAAUGAGAGGAUGAGGUUGCCCUAUCCUACCCGUUCGGCUAACGACCCUCCACCAAUCAAGCAAGCGGUGGGUGUGAGUGUACACCCAUUAAGCGCCAUUUUAUAGGCCGCAACCUUAUACCCACCUUAUAGAUCGGCUUCGUGAAUGAGGCCUACUAACGGUAAGACUAGCAUUUAGUUAUACAUAUAUAUAUUAUUCUAGUAAUAUCAUAUUAGUAUAGGGUUGUAUUUUAAAACUUUUAAAAUCUAGGGUUUGAAAUUUAAGUUGUCUAAAUUAAAACUUUUAAUCACAAAAGUAAAUUUCAAAACAUGAGGGUAGGUUUUAAACAUUUAAAACAUGGAGGAUCAAAUAACAAAUAAUUCCAAUUAACAAUUAAUAUCCUAAUUAUCUAUAUUUGAUUUAUUCAAGAUUUCUUUUAAAGAUAAUUACCAAAAUAAUCAAAAUAAUUAAUUAAUUAUCAUAUAAGGAAAUUAAAUAUUUAAUUAGUUGAUAAUUACCUUUAACUAGAUCAAGAUAAUAGUUAUAUUUAUCAGAAAAACGAAUUAAUGUUGAUCUAAUUAGUUUAUGGUAAGUUAAGAUAAGAUAAACACAAAGAAAUCCCGAAUCUGGCCAUUCCUGACGCCUGGACUCGCCGAGUGCACAAAUGGACUCGCCGAGUCAGGCCUACUCGCCGAGUCCACUUUGAGACUCGCCGAGUCCAUGACUCAGAAACCAAAAAUUCGAAUUUUGCAGGUUUGUUUCAGUUAAUCAAGCAACAAUUUACAGAAAACCAAGCUAGGCUCUGAUACCACUGAUGGGUUUUAGCCAUAAGAACUUUCCUAUGUGCGCAUGCAAAACCCUAAUGCUUGGAUCUAGGCUUUCUAAUAAACAUGCUUUGAAUCCAAGACUUCUAAUUACUAAUUAGGUUAAACAAGAACAUUAAAACAGAUCUAGAAUCAUACCUUUGAGUUCCUUGUUGAUCUUGAGGUCUUGGAGCUUCUAGAGUCACAAAUGUCACUCCUCUAAUGGCUUACAAACACCAAAGCAAGGAGGAUGAUUUGGGAGAGAGGAGAGGGGAGGAAUUUCGACCAGAGGUUCCUUACUUUAGGUCAAGUGUCGAAUUCCAUCAGCCAUGGGGUCUAUUUAUACUUGUAGACUCCUUAAGGAUUACAGAUAAGUCCCUAUCAGAUAAUCUUCUCUUAAGGCUAUCCAAAUCCAUUCCUAGAUAACUCUAAUGGACGAUUUUAGCUAUCCUAAUCCUCUUAGAAUUCGUCCAUAGUAUAUCCAAAUGGAUUUACAGUUUAAAGCUUAACUAUCAAACAAUUGACAGUUUAUACCCCUUUAUUUAAUUAAUCUCUUUAAGUCACCAAAUUAAUUCUAAUUAAUUCUAUGACUUAUAUUAAUCAAAUAACAAAUAUAUUAUUCAUUAUAUUAUUCCCAUAAUAUAUUAAUAAUAUUUAUUCUCUCUUAAUAAAUCAUCCUAUCAAGUUGCUAUGGUGAAGGCAACCCAAAAGGACCAUGCACAACCGGAUAUAGUUACAGCCUUAGACACUAUUCCAACAUCAACCACCACCCGAAACUACCCCCACCAACACUCAACCUGAACCUACCCAAACCACCACACCCCCAGCAUCCCCAACCCCACCAUCUCUAGAUCAUGCCUCUGAUGGAGAUAAUCCUUUCCUUGGAGGGGAAAAUAUGACCUUUGAUUCGGUCUACUUUAGUCCGUUUCAGGUUCAAAGCGACGAUGAGGACGAUGCUC
This 8034-nucleotide long non-coding RNA is filed under the name Lactuca sativa (garden lettuce). RNAcentral describes it as "long non-coding RNA (LSAT_LNC000571)". The record is from RNAcentral. Lineage: Eukaryota; Viridiplantae; Streptophyta; Magnoliopsida; Asterales; Asteraceae.